Parathielavia hyrcaniae is the source of this 72-nucleotide non-coding RNA. NCBI's taxonomy places the organism in Eukaryota, Fungi, Ascomycota, Sordariomycetes, Sordariales, Chaetomiaceae. The record is from the annotation of a GenBank genome assembly.
GGCCUCGUGGCCAAAUGGUAAGGCGCCAGAUUUCGGCUCUGGAGAUUGCGCGUUCGAGCCGCGUCGAGGUCG